Molecule: long non-coding RNA, 1738 nt
Organism: Homo sapiens (human)
Lineage: Eukaryota; Metazoa; Chordata; Mammalia; Primates; Hominidae
Gene: PVT1
Product: Pvt1 oncogene
Source: Ensembl
UUUUUUUUUUUUGUUUGUUUGUUUUUUGAUACAGAGUUUCACUCUUGUUGCCUAGGGUGGAGUACAAUGGCGUGAUCUCAGCUCACCACAAGCUCUGCCUCCCGGGGUCAAGCGAUUCUCCCCAGUAGCUGAGAUUACAGGCAUGCGCCACCACGUCCGGCUAAUUUUGUAUUUUUAGUAGUGAUGGGGUUUCUCCGUGUUGGUCAGGCUGGUCUCGAACUCCUGACCUCAGGUGAUCCGUCUGCCUCAGCCUCCCAAAGUGCUGGGAUUACAGGAGUGAGCCACCGAGCCUGGCCGCUUCCGGUCUUUGGAUUUGAUUUUCCUCAAGUGUAAUUGAAAGCAGGGGCCUGGAUGGCCGCCAUAGUCCCUCCCAGCUUCGACAUUACACAUUCCUGCCAAUCCAUUUUUCAGGCUGAUAACAUUGUUCAGAGUUUAAUGGGAGCAGGGUAAGAUAGUCACCGUGUGGAGCAAAAAUUGAAGGAAAUAUUCCAGAUGUCAUGAUUUUUUACCUGUAGCCCCUCUGCUGCCACACCCUUGUGCACAUCCUCCAGACACUUUUAAAGAAUAAACUCUAUUUUCAGAAGAGUUUUAGAUUUACAGGAGAAUUGUGAAAACAGUUCAAAAAGUUCUCAUAUACCCUGCUCCCAGUUUUCCCUGUUACUAACGCUUUGCAUUAGUGUGGCACAUUUGCCACAAUUAAUGGACCAAUAUUGAUACAUUAUUAUUUACUGAAGUUGAAACAUUACUUUAGUUUUUACCUGGUCCAGGAUCCCAUCUGGGAUCCCACAUCACAUUUAGUGAUCAUGUCUUCUUAGAUUGCCCUGGGCUGUGCCGCUUUCUCAGACUCUCCUGGUUUGUGAUGACAUUGACAGUCUUGAGUUUUGAUGACCAGUUUUGACUGGUCAGGUAUUUCAUAGAACGUACCUCUGUGAGGGUUGUCUGAUUCUUCUUCUUAUUAGAUUGGGAUUAUGGAGGAAGGCCACAGAGGUAAAGUUCCGCUUUUAUGAAAUCAAGGGUAGGCACCAUCAGCAUGACCUAUCACUGAUGUUGACUUUGAUUACCUGGCUGCUGUAGUGGUUGUCAGGUUUGUCCACUUUAAAGAUACUUUUGUGUUUUUGUUCUUUCUUAACUCCCUUUUUAUAUUAAACUCUUCAGAAGGAAGUCACUGUGCAUAGCCAUCCCCUAAGAAGAGGGCAUUCCUGCUCUUCCUUCUCCAUGGCUAGAGGAUCUACAUGAACUAUUUAGAUUUUUUCUACCUGGGAGAUUUAACUCCUCUCUCCUAUUUAUUUAUUUAUAUAUCAGCAUGGACUUGCAGAUGCUUAGGGCUUAUCUUGUAUAUUUCCAGCCCCAGUUAUAGAAUCAGCCAUUUCUUCAAGGAUCCCCUGUCAUUUUACUGGAGAAAGGACUUAGAAUCCAAGAUCUGGGUGCUAGAUGUGCUUGAGGUGUUGUUUCCUCCAGAUCUUCUCAACUGACAGAGCAGUGAAAUAUAUGUGUGUAGGGAGGAUGGGGAGAACAAUUUUUUUAACACAUAUGAAUACUUACCUGGCAGGGGAGAUACCAUGAUCACAAAGGUGGUUUCCCCAGGGUGAGGCUUAUCCAUUGCACUCCCGAUGUGCUGACCCCUGUGAUUCCCCCAAAUGUGGGAGACUUGACUGCAUAAUUUGUGGUAAUGGGGGACUGCAUUUACACUUUUCCCUGUAAAAAUUUUUAAAAAUAAAUAAAUACAUAAAUAAAUAAA